ACGGCCGCGGUAUCCUAACCGUGCGAAGGUAGCGUAAUCACUUGUUCUUUAAAUAAGGACUAGUAUGAAUGGCACCACGAGGGCUUUACUGUCUCCUUUUUCUAAUCAGUGAAACUAAUCUUCCCGUGAAGAAGCGGGAAUUAACUUAUAAGACGAGAAGACCCUAUGGAGCUUUAAACAAAUAUCACCUGCUAAUCCCUUACGAUAUUCAGAUACUUUAUUUAUAUCUUAGCACCAUGAUUAUAAGUUUUAGGUUGGGGUGACCGCGGAGUAAAAAUUAACCUCCACAUUGAAAGAGUUCUCUCUAAGCAAAAAGCUACAACUUUAAGCAUCAAUAAAUUGACACUUAUUGACCCAAUAUUUUGAUCAACGAACCAAGUUACCCUAGGGAUAACAGCGCAAUCCACUUUAAGAGCUCUUAUCGACAAGUGGGCUUACGACCUCGAUGUUGGAUCAGGGUAUCCCAGUGGUGUAGCCGCUACUAAAGGUUCGUUUGUUCAACGAUUAAAACCCU
Molecule: ribosomal RNA, 514 nt
Filed under: Hylodes sp. CFBH10786
Lineage: Eukaryota; Metazoa; Chordata; Amphibia; Anura; Hylodidae
Also listed under: 1 other name
Description: partial large subunit ribosomal RNA
Rfam family: Bacterial large subunit ribosomal RNA
Source: RNAcentral